CGCGCAGUUCUAUGCCUUUGAGAAACAUACCAUCCUAUCACUACCACCGCAAUCAAAUAUACAUUUUAAAUUUUUUUUAGUUUUUAUUUUCAUUAGCUCAUGUUUGCAGUCCGUAAUGAUUAUGUUCAUGGUGGAGAGUUGGCACAUAUAAAUAACAAAUCUUAUUUUUUCUUUUUGCAUCUUAAUAAAUUACAUUUCUGGUAUACUAAAAAAUACCAUUGUGCCGCUCGUUCCCUUAAUCCCAAUCCAUGCCAGCUCAUUUCUGAUUCCCUUCCCUAUCGUUUGCCUCAUCCAAAAUCGUCUUUCACUCAGUUUAAGGCUUUAGAGCGCAUCCCUGGGCUGUGUCUAGUCGUGACGUUGGUACUGCCGAGUAGUCUUCCUGGUGUGAAGAGGUGACCCUGCAUUCAUCAGCUGACAGGCACAUGGGUGCUUCCACUAUUGGGGAUUAUGAGUGCGACCGGUAUAAUCAUCAUUUGCACAAAAGUCUUUUGGCUGACAUGUUUUUCUCAUCGGUAGGACUGUGGGGCUAGUGACAUGUAAAUUUAAUACAAAGCUGCCAAACUGUUUAAAAUAUAAAGUGAAUACGACUGGUGAACUGAGGCAGGAGGGUCUGAUGGAGAUGACUGAACAAGUGCUGCCUGGGGUACUCAGGAUCUAGCAAUAGACUGGAUUUAGCCAGGAAAUCCUUCUGGGCAUGCCUGCGGGGCUUUCCAGAGAUGACUAGCUUUUGGGCCAGCAAGCCAAGGAAGGUGCCCCACCCUACUGACUGUGGGUGGCACCACUCCCUAGGUUUAUACCCUGUGGGAAUGAAAGGGAGAGGAGGAGGAAGUAGCCUGCAUUUGUAAACCUUCCCUCCAUUCUGCUUGGGUGAGUGUGUCUUUUGCUGCUGCUGUCAUCUGUGGACACCAAGCUCCAGGGUCUUCAAUUUCUCCCCGAGGACUCAUACCAACAACUCUUCAGGGAGCUUCCAGACCUUCAGUUGGUGCUGCAGCCUGGGUCCAUCUUGUCCUUUGGCUCCUUGAGCUGAGUCACUACACAAUUUUCUGACUCUCCAGCCCACGGCCAGCCAUUGUGGACAUCUUGCCCCUGAUCCUCCCUUGUUUUUGCUGUUUUCCACCACCAAGAACUGUUGCCUCUUCCAUGUGCUACCCUGCCUGAGAGCCAGCAGAUUAUGGACUGAAACCUCCACAAAAUGUGAGCUAAUUUGACCCACGCAGCUCCAUUUCAGUGGAGAAAAAAGCAGGAGAUACACGCUGAGGAGCCCAGUGGCUGCAACAGGCAUCCACCAAGGCACAGCUGAUGGAGCCCAUCUCUUCUGGAAGGCACCAGCAAGCACAACUUCAGGUGAGGCCCAGGGUCCCUCUGCACUGGAACAAUCAGAGGGGCACAUCUAACCAGUGAAGAGGGUCCCUUAAGCCACCUGAGAAUCUGCAUUUGUCACAAGCUGUACCUGGCGCUUCUGACUCACAAUAAGGCUUGAGGCAAGGUCUUUGGCAUCCUCCACAUGGGAAUCGUAAAGUCAGCAGUGCAUUUGCAAGGCCAAGCAACAGCAAAUGUGUUGUACCCCCAAAUGCAGCCCUCCACUGACAAGGGAUUAACCAGUUGGAAUUCGCUCCACCUCCACAGCCUGACUCACUUUACUUCAUGAUACUUGGUGCUCAAAUGGGCACCACGAGGACAGGGCAUGAUAGGACAUAACACCCAGCCACAGGCUGUGGAUUUAAACAAAGCAGUUCCCAGCACUCAGGAGGCUGAGGCAGGAGAAUCACCAAAUCACCAAAGGAUAUAGAAGCUUGCACUCUGAAGGCAGAGGAGACUUAUGGGAAGAGGCUUCUGCUCCAGCUCAUUCUUCCCCCAGGUGGCAUCUCUGAAUUCUGAAUGUUUCCCCAGUCCCCAAGACUGCCACUCACUCUCCUUCCUCUUCCCCAGGUCCUCCUAGGGACCGUUCCUGCUCAUUCUCCCAAAGGAGCUGUCAGGCUACUCUGGAGGCCUUGGGAGAAGCUUCCUGACAUGAAAUUCACCAAAUGAACUUCAGUUUAUAAAGAGUAAGACAGCCAGGGGUAGCACUGCAUGCCUGUAACCCCAGGAUUCUGGGAAGCUGAGGCAGGAGGAUCGCAAGUUCAAAUCUAGCCUGGGCAAUUUAGCGAGCUCCUGUUUGAAAACAACAACAACAACAAAAGUUUAAAGAAGACCAGGAUGGGGCUGGGGAUUUAGCUCAGCGGCAUAAGUGCCUGCCUUGCAAGCAGGCAGUCGUGAGUUCUAUCCCCGGUACCGAUAAAAAGGAAAAAGACAAAAAAAAAAAAAAAAAAAAAAAGACCAGGAUAUAGCACAGUACCAAGGCCCUGGGUUCAGUUCUCAGUACCACGUUAAAGAGAGCAAAGAAGGACUUACUCAGGCCCAUUUUAAAAUCACACAUCCUAAAUCAGGACUCAUGUAGAGAAAUCGUGUUAAACACCUUCCGACAUGAACACAGUCGAAAGCACCCUAGAGUAGUCGGGAGCUCGCAGCCUCUGCAAACCAGGACCACGCCUCCAGCCCCCCAGCCUCUGGGGGGCGCUGCCAAGCAGUGCCAUCGGCCCGGGAGCCUCUGGCCUGGCUCACGUUUCACGUUUCCCUUUUGCGUAACUCUGCGUCGGAAGUCCGAUAUAGAGCAGCUGAGAAGUAAAUGAUAUUGGCCAGGCUGAAGAGCAAGCACAGGAGCAGGGCGGCCGCUAUCUGUGGGAAGGACAGGGGCUGUGACACGGCGAGCAGCCACUCCCUCCUCAGCGCCUUGUCCAGCAGGAUGGCCUCCGUCUGCAUGUGCGUGGCCACGAUCACGCACACGUGGAACAGCUGGUGGCUGUGACCUGCGGCAACACACAAGGGCCUCAGUGGUCAUUGCAUGGUGGCCUCGGUCAAGGGCCGCGUGGUGGCUGUCACUCAGCGGAAGCGGCAGGGGAGUCAGGACAUUCACAGCGGUGGCUGCAGCAAAGGUGGGAUAGGGACUCAGUCCCGGGGCACAGAUCAGUGGUGACCACCGUACUCGGGAAGAUGGACUAAAAGUGUCAGUGGGUGUCUGCUGGACACUGAGAGAUGAUUUAAUCCACAAAAUACACCUUAAUAAAUCUAUCUUUAAAAAGCAAUAGGAGCUAGGCGUGGCAGCUCACACCUAUAAACUCAGUAUCGGGAGGCAGGAGGAUCGCAGUGAGUUUGAAGCCAGACUGGGCUACCUAGUGAGACCUUGUCUGGUAAAACCCCAGAAGUACAACAAAACAAAAAAAGAAGAAAUAGAAAAAACAAAACAAAACAUGGGUUCUCUUUUGGUGAGACUGAAAGGAAAGCUGUGUGGUAAACAGACCUAUCUCAGGAGACACCUAGGAGGACCCCGGCCUCCAUGCAGGAGCAGAGGCCAGAACGAGGGCUGAGAAUCCAGUGGAGGCCCAGUGAGUUCCUCAGGGCCCCUUUCUGUCCCCAGGAGGAAGGGACACCUAAGGUACCAGCCUGGCCUUGCUCAGGCUGAAGUUGAGGGCCGUGUGUGCCCCUUGGUCUGUGUGUCCUGCAGCAAAGCGACUUCUCCACGCUGCUUCUCCUGGGGAGGCCACAGAUGAAGAACAGAAGGAGCCCAGGCCCUGGGGAGCUGACCCAAGGCUGCAGAGGAAAGGGCUUCCUCCACCUGGCCUGACAGGAAUGCGAGGUGUCCCACUUGGGGCCACCAGGCUGGGCCAUCAGUUCCCCCAGGGGCCUGGCUCCUACUGAGCAGAGUCAGUGACUCAGAAUGGGGCCUUCCCCAAUGUCUGGUUCCCACCUGUCAUCACGAGUCACCCAGCUCUGCCCCCUUGGCCCUGAGAGGACAUGGCAGAGCUGAACAGCAGGACACCUGAGAAGCCAGUGCUGACGAGAGAAUACCCAGGGUGUUUCCCCAUCACCUCCAACUUGGUUUACAGCCCCAUCUCUACUACUUCUAAGUGUGGGGGCAGCGGCCAGGCAGGCAGGAGCGCUGGGCCUGGACAGUGACAUCCAGAGUAGCUCCUGUCCCUUUCCCUGCAGCCCCACCUCCCGUCAGCCCUUUGCAGCCACAGCAUCAGGGCAGCCUCUCCCCAGCAGGAGGCCCCACCCACUCACCGAUGUAGUCAAAGCGACCUGGGGCCAGGCGCUCGGGCAGGUGUGUGGAAUACAGCAGAGUGGCCAGUAGGGUCAUGGCCAUGUGCCUCUGGUGGUGCAGGACGGCCUCAUUCUGGGCGCUGACCCCCGGGAACAGGAAGAGCUGCAGGUGUGUAGGGAAACAUCGGGCCUUGAGAGGGGGCCAGGCCUCAGGCUCCUCCCUUCUGGGAGCCUGCAGGAGGCCCGCAUGUCUCAGGCCUGAGCCCAGGGGAAGACACGCAGGACGGGCCACAGGACUUCUGCUCCUAGUGAACCAGGUGAGGUCCAGCCAGCGCCAUUCCACCCCCACAUGCUCCUUCGGGCCUUGGGUUAUUCAGUUAUGAAAGAAAAGAAAGAGGGAGGGGUAGGGGAAGAGAAAGGAAGGAAGGGAAAAGAAAAUUCAUACUGCAGUUUUGCUGCUCUUUUGGGGAGUAGCAGUCAGUAGAAUAGGAAGUUGUCUCUUCACACCUGAGCUCAAUUUUUUUGUUUUAUUUUUAUUUUGAGACAGGAUCUCAUUAUUAGUUCAGGCUGGCCUUAGACUCACUAUAUAUACAGCCCAGGCUGGCCUCCAACUCAGCAGUGAUCCUCCUGUCUCAGCCUCCUGAGUGCUAGGCCUACAGGCAUGCUCUGCCACACCAGCGCUAUCCCUCCUCUAAGACCCUUAUUCACCACACUUUCCUUCAAUAGCAAUCACACAUUAACUGAUGAUCAUAUAAGAUAAGCACGGAUUAGACACUUUGCCACUAGCUGGCACUGUACACUGUAUCUUGGAAUCCUCCACACACCCGCAAGUGGCGUGAUAACAUUUCACAGAUGGGGGAAAUUGAGGCACAGAGAUUUUGCCCAGGACUGGCAGCGAGUACCACAGCUUCACCCCCAGAACCUGCUCCCAGCUCCCCUCACCAAAUCACAGGCUGCCGGCCCCGCCUGACUACCAGGUCUGCAGGUCCUGCAAUGCCCAGUGUGCUCGCCUAACCCCCAGCUGCUCAGGCUUCCCUGGACCCCCGCUGCCUCCAACAGGCACAAGGACGCAGCUGUCCUUACCCUGUAGAAGAUGGGGAGAGAGUCCCAGAGGUAGGGGUAGGCGAAGGCCAGGAUACGCAGCACCUUGGAAAGCCUAGGCUUGUGGACUUCAAGGAACCUGAGUCAGGGAGGAGAAGGAGGAAACAGAGACAGAAGGAAUUUCAGGCGCUCACGCACAUACAUACCAAUAAACCGUGCGCUGUCACCCACACAGCACAAGCAUUUUGCACAACCUCCUGUGGCCAGCAGCUCCUUCCCUAGCCCCUGCCAUCUCCUCCUUCAAGGAAGCGACAAACCCUGGGCUGUGGAACUCAUCCUGCAAGGAGCUUUCUGAAAGCCCAAUGGCCAUCAGGACAGGGGUGGGGGCUGGCACAGACCCUCAGGAGCACAUGGUGCUAGACUGAGCCACAUCUAACCAGAGGAGCUCCCAGGUGAUGCCCAGGGGGAGACCCACGUUUGCCAGGUACCAGGCCGCCUGGAGGAUUCCUGGGGUGUUUAUUCUGCAUGCAGUUGGCAGCCUGGGUGCCAGGAAGGCCAUAGACUCUGAACCGAGGCUCUGAUUAGGAAGCCCUGGUGGGCCCCAGCUGGGCCAUCAAGGCUGCAUGCAUGUCCUGGGCCACAGGGCUGCAGAUGGGGUCUCCAGGCUCAGCAUGGGUGGCAGGCAGAAGCCACUGAAGACCCUUACCUCCCAGCCUUUACUGGCAGCUCUGUCCUGGUGCUGUGCCCUGUCAGCAGCACCCCAGACCCUCUGCCCCAGCCCACAAGCCGGCCCAGACUGCCCUCUCUCCAGCACCAUCUGCUGCUCUCACUAGCACCUGUGAUCCCAGCACUCCCUCUGGCAGGGUGUCUCUGCUUGACCCAAGACAGACACCUGACAGCAUCCCAGCAGCACCUAGAGAGACUUCCCCAAAGGCAGAGGCCAGGGCUGGCAGGUCAGGCUCUCCACAGCCUGCUGCAAAGCUGCCUGAGGUCCAUCCCCAGCCCUGAGUGCAUGGGGCAGAGAAGGCGAUUCCUGUUCCAGGGAGGGGACAGGCCACCCUGCACCCCAAGACACACCCAGCUCCAGAGACAAACCCCAGCUUCCCUCUAGCUGGCCGCAGCUUUCUUUUCUCCUGGCUCUGCCCUUGCUUGGGAAACACAGCAGGGUUGGGGUGCAGAAGGAAGGGAAGCUGGCAGGGAGAGGAGGAAAGCUGGCGGGGAGAGGAGGAAAGCAAGGGCCCGCAGUUUCUCACUCCCAAAAGGAAGCACAGCCUCUAUGAAAUCAUGCAGAAAAGGUGGCCAUGCCGCAUAGCAGUGUCACAGCAGCAGGUGGGCAGGUCUCCCUGUACCCCAAGGCCUCAUGGGCAACCGGGGUGGGCAAAUGACUGCUCCCCACUCACACCGCAGGCUCAGGACCCAAUGGGACAAGGUCCCAAGGGUGAAUAAAGGCCUGCAAAGCCUGGCUCCCCAUGCAGUUUGAAAAAAGCAUGCGUGUGAGUCUGUGUCCUCUCCCAUCUCAGGGCUGCACUGGGGCCAGAAAGAAGGGGUGAGAGGGCUGAAGGCUCUAGGUGCUUCCCCUGAAGUCGUGAGGGAGGGUUUAGCCCAGGGCAUCGACCACCCACCCCCAACUUUCUCAUGCCCUGCUUCUUCCGUACCUCUGACUCGGGGCCAAAAGGUGCACACACCCACCAUCCCAGGGGCCCGGGCGCCUGCCUCAGCCUACCCUGGCAGAUGCUGCCUGGGCGUGCAAGGUCCCCUGGGCACAGCCACCACAAGCCAUUUACCAGACAGAGAGCUGUUUCGGACCUGGGUUCCCCACAGCCGCUCACCCAGGGGCCGGGGAGUGGCUGCAAGGUGCAACUUGAGAAAUCGAACCUGGCCUGAAAAAAUGUUUCCCCAGGGGCAAACAGAUCAGCUAGUUCAGCUGCAGAGCCAAGUUCACAGGUGGAGAGAGAAACGGCAGAACAACGGAGAGAACAACAGGAGGAAAAAGCACAGCACUGGAAGCCAGAGCUGCUUCCAAUACCAAGGUACCAAUACCAAGGUGCAAUUCCACAUCAGGCCACAGGGUGUCGCCACAGCCAGAGGAACCAGGAGCGACCUCCUGCACACCCUAAAAACCCCAAAGCACCCCCAUCUCUGCAUUCUAGGAUGAGGGGCUGGUUCCUAGGAAGCCGGACCUCCUGCAUCCAGAACAAGGGUGGCCGGAAACACGAGAUUAGGGGAGAAGCGUCCCUAAGGAUAGGGUUGAUCAGAUACAGCUGUGAUGCAGCUGAAAGGAUUAACAGCUGGAAUUUGAGGCCUUCAGCUGCAGGGAGAGGGCUUGUGUUUCCUCACUCCAUCCCUCAAAUGCUACGGCAUGGCACACAGAGGCUGCUGUCUGAGCAUUCUCAUCUCAACCCAUCCCAAGACACCAGGGGCCAAAUGCCUGGCCAUGGCAGCCGGGGCCCAGGCCCUGCUCUCAGUCCUCUGGUCCUGAACUCAUCAGGACCAGCGGCUCUGUCACUCCCCAACGUGGGGGAAGUGAGACAGGCCUGGUAAGAGCAGGGACACCUCUGAGGACCUGGAGAUAGGGAGAGAUCACUGUCACCACAGUGUUCCCCAGCCGUCCUGAGGCCCCUUGCUGUCUCCGAAACCUGAGCCCAAAGGCCUUUUCUUCCCUCCCUUGAGGCAGAAGUGUCCACCUCCCUCCAUGCUCAUGCCUGAGGCCAUUGCUAGGGCCCUGGGUCCCCAGGCAGUUGACACUCUGCCCACUAUACUCUAAUAGAAGGGCGGCCUCUCCUGGACUCUGGGGAGUCUGUGAAUGGCUCUGCCCUUCACCCUCCAAGGUCAAGGGCAGGACUUGCUCCUCGCUGCAGCUCCAGACAGGGCCUGAGAGGCCGUGCUGCUGCCCACCAUGGAGCCACCUCAGUCCCUGGAGCAGUCUGUGCUCCCCCCAGCCCCUUCCCAGCUGGUACCUGGAAUAGCAGGAGAGGCCAGUGCUGAGGCUAGUGUUGAACACGGCCAGGGCCACGUAGUAGUCCCGGAAGGCCGAGCGCACCAGCACGUCCGGGAAGGUGUACGCGGAGUAGGCAAUGGCCGAGCCUGGAGGAAGAACCAGCUGUGGGAAGGAGGCCAGGCCCGGGCACCGCAGGGACCCCUGACCACCUCCCAUCAUCCCUCUGCCCGAGAACGAACUGCUUUGUACAUGCUAACUCAUUUAUUCUUUACAGCAUAGAGAGGUUUAGUAUCACAGCAAGGGGCACACAGCCAGCAUGGGGCAAGGCCCAGCCUCAAGCAGGCACCUCAGCAAGAGUGUCCGCCCCUGACCACAGUGCUGUCCCCACUGUGCCCAGCUUACGUCUGAGUGUCACAGCUCACCAGCCCCUUCAGUGACACUGGGGUGAGAGGGUGUGAGGGGGAGAAGGGGCUGGGGGUGGAGCUCUGUUCCUGGUCAGGGGGUCUUUAGGAGUUACAGGCCUAUCAGGAAGAGUAGGGAGGCCUUUGUGAGGGUCAGUCCAAGGUCAUGGUGAGCCCCAGACAUGAAGAACCAGGAUGGGCAGUGGCCACGCAGGCUCAACCUCUGCUCCCGAGGGCUGUGGCAGGGCUGUCACUCGGAUGGAGGCCACGCCCCUAAGUGUCCCCAGGAGGGGCCUGGGGUAGCCAAGCCCUCCCAGCUGCCACUGCCCGGUACAUGCUGACAGCCAAAGGUGUGCAGCAAACACGGGUGCGACACAAGUGCCAGGGGCCUCAGAUCUGCUCAAACUACAGCAGAGCUGGCCACAGCCUCAGGACAGAGCCCGAGGGCAGGGAAGGCUGGGUGUAGGCCCAGUAAAGGGAGCUUCCUCUGGCCACAGCGAGGACCUCAGGUCUGUCCAGGUCUGUGGAACUGCUAUGGGACAGCUUGUCCAUGUCCCCACUACUCUGCACCUUGCCAUGUCACACAGGGAGCUGGAAGUGAGCUGCGGGAGAGCAUCUGCACCCUAGAAAUCAGCAAACACUGCAGACCAAGCUAGGGUCUCCAGACAGCCAGGUGCUGGCUCUAAACCUUACAAAACCCUCAACAGCACCUAGGCAAGGCCCUGGCCUCCACUGAUUCCCCGAAAACCCACGAAAGUCUGCUGGGAGCCCAGCUCGAAGGGUGGGGGUGCCAAGCCUGUACCCAGGCUGAAGAGAUUGACGGCACCAUAGUCCAGGAAGUAGCAGAUGUGCCGGGCAUUCUUGGACAUGGAGCUGAAGGUGUGCGCGCAGCUGGAUGCCAGGGGGUACACACAACUGGUGCACAUGUACACAAGCAUGGGCCAUGAGUAGCUGUCAUUCCAGAUGUCUGUCAUGCACAGCACAGUCACAAACCUCCACGCAAAGAACCUGAAACACAGCAUGGAUCACCUGGUCAUCUUAGACGCCUAACCCAUCUUCCUGCAAGCCUUUGUUCUAGGGAAAUACCGCCAGGCAGGGAGGGUGGGAUCCCCCCAACUGCAUCUUACUCGAUUGAUUCCCUAGCUUCUCUUGCAUACCUCCAAAGGUGGGGGGCUCACCAUCUCCCAUGGCAAUUCUGAGUAUUAGGUUAGGGCCAACACACAGCUGCCUGUCACUGACAUGUAGGGUCCCCCACCACUCUGUAUCUCACUACCACAAACUACUGCUGGGGGGCCAGCUCCUGCUCCAGGAAGGAGGCUAUGAAGCCCUGCAGCUGGGAAAAGGAGUGUGGAUAAACCCCCUGGCUACACUUGCAGCUUUCUCCUCCAGCUGCAGCAGGAAGACUUGGCCAGUUUAACUGGCUUUUGCUUUUCGCUUUUUUAAAAAAUUUAAUCUCAAGCUUGCUCCAUAGGCUGUUUUCUCUAAGGUGUCUUCAGGUGCAUUUGCCGUCGGCUUCUAAUAUGCUAGGCUGCUGAAUCAGGAUGUAUCUAAAAGCCUAGCCUGUGUGUUGGGGAGCCGUUACAGUGUUGGGGGGCCUGUUUGGCUCCACUUUAAAACAGCUGGAAAGUCAUCCCCCCAGGAUCUGUGCAUGGCCCUGUGGGCCCCGCACUGUGGAGCGGCACAAAUCUCAAACCAGCCUGAGCCAAGCUUGCUCCAUCCACAGAUCAGAAACCCCUGCGGGGGGUCCCUUCCAUCCUGGAAGAGCUCAAGAUGACACGAGGAACAGGGAGGAGAACUAGGCACCCCAAUAACCUCCGGGAGGAGAACUAGGUCCCAACCGUGCCCUUCCGCAAUGUUACAGGUUAGUACAUGAAGCCUUUGUAUACGUACAAAGUUAACAUCAUUUAAGUGCCCUCCUUAGCAGGACUUGCUGUCCCCUUGCUCAGGCUGCAGAGCCCUGGGCUGUCAGGCCUCACUACUGAUCCCCCUGCUCCCCCUCUAGCACCCCAGAAAGAAGCUGCCUUGGCCCUGCACAGAGUGGCUGCAGGACCAGCCUCCUCUGCUUCUGGCCCUGGCUGUGUCUUUGGACUUCUGGUCAGGCUGACCAGCCACCACCUGUACUCUGGAUCUCUUUCACUCUGUGUCUCCUAUGAUCUUCAUGGCCCAAAUGACCCCCAUGGCCCGCCCAGCUCUGGUACUCACUGCCCCACCCUGUCUGUGGGUUCCAUGUCCUAUCCUUGGACUCAAGCAACCACAAAUCAAAAUAUGCAAGGGCUAAACCUGCAUUCAUGUGAAGCAUGCACACUCUUCCCUCCCAUUCCCUAAGCCAUGCCACAGAGCUUCGUGUCACCCCGGGAAGUCUCAGUAGCCUGCAGAUGGUGUGCAGCAUGCAGAGGCUGUGCACAGGAGACAAACAGAUGCGCUGCUGCUUUGCAUGAAGUAUGCACAGACUUCGGUAUGGACAGGGUCCAUGGACAGUCCCUAAGGACACUGGGACAGCCAUGUGACGACAUGGUCGAGGGUGCCCUCUCAGCUCUGUGCUCCUCAGGUGAGGUGGGUGUGUGACAAGGACCCCCAGAGCUGACACCCACUGCCUGGGGCCCAGAACCUUUACUCAUCUUCCCCCUGUCCUCAUGGCCACCCCAGGACAGUCACGCACCCUGCAGGCCACAUCUGCUUCACAGCAGCAAUGCGCCAAGCUCAGAAGGGUUAAGCGACUUGUGCAGGCCAGUGAUGUUUUAACCAGGUCCCACAAAGCCUCCACCACUGAAGGGGGCUCAGUGCUCAAGGCCCCCUGGAAUCCCAUGACUCAUGCCCUAAGACUCAUCCUGUGGCAGGCCCAGCCUCUCCCCUCCACCCCACAUUACCCACACCCAAGGGGGCAGUAUCCCCAACCCCAGUAUAGGCUCUCAGACUCCCAAACCCAGCUGUGUUUUUUUGUUUGUUUGUUUUUCUUUUUCUUUUUGAGACAAAGUCUCGCUAUGCAGUUCAGGCUGACCUGGAGCUCCUUGGUAGCCCAGGCUGAUCCUGGAACUUACAAUGAUUCACCUGCCUCAGCCUCCCAACUGCUGAGAUUAUAGGUAUGCGCCACCUCACCCAGUUACCCACUUGUGUUUUAAAGUACCCGUGGUCCCUGGGGUCCCAAAUGGUCAAGGGGGCAGGAAGAUACCAAAAGGGCAGCAAGUGGGUCCAGAUGUUGAGGGUCUCAUUGGUCAGCUGGAACAGGCUGAGCAGACAGGCAGCGGCAGAGCUUUGUGGAUGCCGGUAGCCAAAGAGGAUGCCCCGCUCAUGGAACACCUGCGGAGAGAGGGCAGAGUCUCAGGCCAGCCCCACAGCCAUGCCCAGGUUCCCUGCAGCCGGACCCACCCCGCCCUGUGGAUAGCCCCAUGGUCUCUCUCUGCCCUGCCUGGGCUGAGCUCUGAAAUCCCUCAUCUCCAAGAAUUGCAGACGUGCUUACUCUUGGCAUGAAUAUCGCCCAAGGAUCCAAGUUUGCCCUCUCCGCCUGGGGUCCACAGCUGGUCUUCAGGAACACGGUCUUCUUUAGAGCUUGGCUAACAUAGGUGCUGCCAUCAGAGUCCGCAGGGCCCAGGGUAGGGGCCGGCAGAGAGAGCUCAAGGCACGCCCCGCCCCCCCAGCGCCAUGGCAUCCCAGCAUGCUUCACAAAGGCCUUUUGAUGAUGGAGCCCAUGACACUCAUGCCUACAUUGUGGCCUGGCUGCCACAGGGCCACAGAGCUGCCCAUAACCACAGAAAGCCCUCUGAGCAAGCUCCCCAAAACUAUGGGGUACCCACCUCCUUUGCAAAGGGCUCUGUAUGGAGCAGAUCUUCAUGGAGAGAACACGUGCCGCGAACACCCCAGCUCUGCAUUCCAAGCCAACCCCAGCCGGCGCCAGCCCACCAUCAGCUCCGGACCCCACAGCACGGUCUCGGCUCCAGGCACCCAGGUCUACAGCCGCUGCUCAUCUACACAGUGGAACUGAU
Molecule: long non-coding RNA, 12440 nt
Organism: Cavia porcellus (domestic guinea pig)
Lineage: Eukaryota; Metazoa; Chordata; Mammalia; Rodentia; Caviidae
Exons: 4
Source: RefSeq, a predicted model, not a curated record